This 312-nucleotide long non-coding RNA is filed under the name Vigna radiata. RNAcentral's name for it is "long non-coding RNA (VRAD_LNC002305)". The record is from RNAcentral. Lineage: Eukaryota; Viridiplantae; Streptophyta; Magnoliopsida; Fabales; Fabaceae.
AGCUGCGAACAACAAGCACGCCAGAGGAGACGAGAUGUCAGUGUCGAGGCGACGAAGAGGACUACACAACGAAAUGACGGAGGCGAUGCAGCGGUAGAGCAACGACGAUGGAGACGCGAAGGAGAUGACACCACGAUUAGACGAUAGCGGUGCAACGACGGUGCAGACGUGAAAGAGACAACACCACAACAAGGCGAAGGUGGUAGUGCAGCGGUUCAGUGGCAGAGCAUCGACGGUGGAGACACGAAGGAGAAGACACCACAACAAGACGAUAGCGAUGUAGUGGCGGUGUAGACGUGAAGGAGACAACAC